RNAcentral lists this long non-coding RNA (1245 nucleotides) under Nicotiana tabacum (common tobacco). Its description in RNAcentral is "long non-coding RNA (NTAB_LNC009458)". The record is from RNAcentral. Lineage: Eukaryota; Viridiplantae; Streptophyta; Magnoliopsida; Solanales; Solanaceae.
UCGUGUCAUGGGAACCGUACCCACAACCUACAAUACGUUUAAUUUAUUAACAUUAUUAGAUUCCGGGACACAUAAAUGUAACCCUGGAUUUGGAAAUUAUAUAUCACAACUACGUCACGGGAACCGUACCAUAGCUAUGAUAAUUUAUUAUAGCGCGCCUAAAGCAAACUACGAAGGUUCAUGUUUAAUCUAAGUUGAAAUUAAAUAUAAAGCUACUAAUUGUAAGUGUGCAUUGGAAGAUAAACUAAGUCUUUAAUUGUUUGAGAAGAACUGGGCCAAAAGUAGGCCCAUUACAUUAUCUAAAAGAAGAUUGCCAAGAAAAUAUGGCCGGUGUGGACUGGGCUCGAAAUUGAGCCUAAAAGAGGAAGUAAGCAAAAAACAGACGCACACCAAUUCGACCAAGCUGCUUCAUCUGGGCCAAUGCCAGGCCCAACUACUUCCAGCAGAAGGGCCUUCGACAUUAAGGCUCAAUUUCCUCUAAAUCACAUGUAACACAAAAUAUUAUAAAAAUUCUGGAAAAAUCAUAGGCUAACCAACCAUAUUGUAAGUUUAAAUUAUUAACAUGCUAUUAGUACUAACAAUAAGAGAUUAAACCUUACUUAUUCAUGAAUCACCUUAAACUUAAAUAUGCAAUCACUUUAACACUAUUGAAAUUCGAGAUAAUUUAGCUGAUGGUGCUUAGCAAUCAAACACUGUCCCUUUUUGACAUGUACAGUACAGAUCCAGCAUCUUCUAGUAAAGACCAAAUGAACUACUAUGGCGACUAAACAUUUUAAAACUGUCAAACAGUACAUGGAACAGCUAGACUAAUUUGAACAUUCAUACAAAUAACUAAGUUAUAGACUAGAACACCGGAUUCAGAAUGCUUAAACAAAACUAAAACAGAAAUACUAAACAAAAUAACUUGCAAACACCAUACAUAAUAAAAACUGAAAUUUAACAUUCGAAUACCCAUCUUCUUGUUACAUUAAAGACUAAACACAUGCUUUAGAGCUUCAUUUUGCCACUCAAAAGUUCAUAGAGAUACCUGGAUGUCAAGAACAAAGACAAGGUAAAGAAGCUCAGCAAGAAGUCAGUAGAGAUCAGCAACAAGAAAACAACACACAGCCUCAAACAUAAUCCAUACUGGAAUUAGAAAAUCAGAAAUCCCAAAGAAGUUUUCUAAGUUUUUUUUAAAAUCAGAAGAAAAGAGAAUCAGCUACUAAUGAAACAGUAGUUGAACCUUUUGGAGUGUUUUUAGGGUUC